This 315-nucleotide small nuclear RNA is filed under the name Nannospalax galili (Upper Galilee mountains blind mole rat). Its description in RNAcentral is "7SK RNA (ENSNGAG00000003289.1)". It matches the Rfam family "7SK RNA". Rfam says of the family: 7SK was discovered as an abundant small nuclear RNA in the mid-70s but a possible function has only recently been suggested. Two independent studies have found that 7SK RNA binds the CDK9/cyclin T complex (known as elongation factor P-TEFb). The record is from Rfam by way of RNAcentral. Lineage: Eukaryota; Metazoa; Chordata; Mammalia; Rodentia; Spalacidae.
CGAUGUGGCAGUAAUCUGGCUGAGACAUCUGUCACUUCAUUGAGCACCAGGGUUUAUUUGGCCGAUCUGGUUGGUUAGGUGUGUGUUCGCAUCUUCCCUCAAAGCUCCACGUGCGUCUCUUACAAAGGCUUAGUCAAAGAGAACAACCUUCCCUGAUAGAGGAGAACAGGUUUUCCAUCAAGGGUUUAUAAGUAGUUGUGCCCUGCUAGAAUCUCCAAACAAGCUCUCAAGGCAGUUGUCUGUAAACCGAGAACUCAGAGUCAAGGUAGGACAAUCAUGAGUUAAAGGCUAGCCUCAGCUGUGCAGUGAGUUUGA